AGUGAUCGGAAAUGUCUUGCCCAAGCCCCAUUCCCACUGGAAAAAGUCAAAAGGGUUCCUGGCAUUAACACGACCUUGCGUCAUUCCUGAUGAAAUUAGCAGAGCUACUUGUUUAGAGCUUUGCUAAGGAUGCACUUUGGUGACAGUAAGAAGUAAGAAAUUUGGGGUUUAACCCCACAUCUGAGCAGGAUCUGUCUGCUUUCACUAGCUGCAAAGCCUGAGACCAGCACUUGAAAGCGCUUUAGACCCGCAGUCCAUUUUUCACUUGUCUUUAAGUGCAAGCGAUGGGAAUUGCUAACCUCGGCUAAGAAAAUUUCAUUUUCCCCAUCUUGCUAAACGGUUCUGGUCGACAUAUGUUUGUUAUCAGAGAGAGGUGCUAUGAACACAGAGCCAUUUUCUUAGCAGCUCUUUGACUCUGUGUUACCAUAGUCCCACACGGCAUUGGUCCUUUCCCGUUGGGAAGUCAUGAAUAAGAGACUAUGAAGCUUGCACGUCAGAUCUUCCUCAAUUAAUCCACCAUUAGCAUGUUCGGGAUCCUCUACUGGAUGGUUAACAGCAGCAUUGGUAACUGUAUGCUGUCCAUACCCAAUUAUGCUCUGCUAAAAAUGAACUCUGCAGAAGAACCUUCCUGAGCUGUCAGUGUCUCCCGUUUUCCUAUUUUAACGCUUGUGUGUAGUGGCAGGCGACAGAUGGUGUAGAUCAGAUCGAUUUGAUUGCAUUAGGCGAUUUUUUUUUUCCUCCUCUCUCCCCCCGACUCCUUUUCUGGAAGCCCACAUUCAUCUGAGAGGCGAUCGCCGGGGACAUGGGAAGCAAGAGCAGCCGCCGAUGUGUGAAAGCAACGAGACAUGGCCAGCCAGAGGCGCCGGGGUCCCUUCACGGGGUUUGUUAACAUGGUAAUCCGGCACCAGGAGAGAAAGCUGCUUUCUGCUGCCCAGAGCCCAUUCCCCAUCACACAUCAGAUGACUCCCUGGCUUUACACACAGUUGGAGUUCUGCUCGAAACGUGGAUUUAAAGGGAAUCUGUUGCUGCGUAUGACAUCUCUUGCAAGCUCCCAGAGAGAAUUGAUGGCGCAUACAGCUAGGGAAUAGGAUACCAGAGAAGCACAGAGGAAGAAUCCAGGCAAUCACCAGGAUGGGAAGGUUCAGCGUCCACUGGAUAUGGGACAAGAUCGCUUGGCAACCCUUGUGGAUUCUCCUUCUUCUGGAGGCGAAUUAUAGUUAUGGAUUUAUUGUCCCGGUGCAGCACUUCCACCACCAGUAGCAACAGCAGCAGCUUUCUGACUCUCUUCGGUGACGGUCCUACAGCCUAAGUUUCCUGGACUAGUCCACCUUCCUUCCUUCCUCGCCAAAUGACUCAUGGAAAGCUGUUGAUCUUCAGUCUAUGGAGAGAUUCAAACAUCAGCAACUUUCUGGGGGUGCUGCUACAAGGUGAGCCUCGGACUCUGCCUGCGGUCUGUGCUCCCAGAUGACAGCCCCACGAUGGCAGAUGGAGGGACAUCCACGCACUGCACUGGGCAUUGGCUGCUCCCAGAGCUGCCACAUGCCAUGGGACCCCCAGCUGCUGGAUGCCUGACCCAGCUCCGCUGCUGCUGGAGAUGUGUUGGGGCUGGCUCAGCCCUGCUUGCUGCUGCCUGUCUGCCUUAUUCUUCUGAGUUAUGCCCCAGCCUGCUCCUGUGCUGUUGUGCUGUCCUGUUGGUGUGCCUCCGGGCUGUAUUGAGUUUUCAAUUAUCACAAUGUACAGUGCAGAUGCUAUGCAAAACAGCCAGUGUGGCUGAGCAUGCUGAACUCAGGAGAAACACAGUUAAAUAAAAGUACUACUAUAAUACCAGGAGGCUGAUUGGAACCACAAGAUACCAGUGUCAUAUCCUGUGGCUUUUAUGUUGGUUGAUGUAGAUUUCAGACAUUAGAAUCUAGCUAUCCAACAGAUAACAACUAGAGGAAAUGGAUCUGGGUAUCUUCAGUUGUGAGUAACUGAUACACACUUGCCAAUAAAUGCAGAACCUGGUAAACUGCAGAAGAAAGAAAGAAAAGAUUUAUAUUUGAGAUACCUACAAAUAUAUAUGGAUAUAUAGAGAGCUCUGACUUUAGAGAAACAAGGUGUGGUUACUUGUCAAUUCCAAAUUCAAGCAAGGAAAUAAACAGCAAGUGCAGGUCUCAAUUUCUCUAUUUGUGCAUGCAGUAACAAGCUCCCAGAUGAUAAUGAUAUUGAGAUAUCUAUGUGGGGGUAAAAGACUAUGACAAAAAAGCAAGAAAUAAGCAAUAAAUACAAUAAUGUCAGACUUUCCUGUUAUUAACUUCCAGAAAAGCUCAACAGCUGGAAUUUUAAAAUGUUUUACGUAGACAAAUGUAAAGAGAACAACACGUUAAAUGUGGUUUUUUUCCAAAGGAAAAUUAAAUAGGGCAUACAGAGAAAAUUAUUAUAUUUAGUACUCUCAGGGCAAAUUCUAGUUAAGGACUAUGAAAUAAUUUGAAAAUAGUAAUGAUUUAGCCUCACAGCUAGCUUUCAGGGAGAUAAUAAUGAUAAUUAUUAUUAUAAAUAAAUAGUAUCAUUCUUGCUUAGAAGAAUGGAAUAUUGAUGCCUAGAGAAUUCUGUAUUUGUCCAAAAUACAGAAUACAUUUUUCUGUGUUUUACUACUGUAACCAUCCUCCUCAAGAACUAUUAUAUAUUAAGAUUCUCCUUUUCAAAAUACUCUUUGAUAUACUACUCAGUUUAUCAGUUCUGAAAACCAACAAAACAAGCUUUCUUGUGAAAAAGUGCCAGUCAACAUCUCCAUUUGCAUGUGAAUUCUCUAGCAGAAACAGUUCUGGUUAAAAAAAAAAAAAAAAAAAAAAAAA
Molecule: long non-coding RNA, 2834 nt
Filed under: Taeniopygia guttata (zebra finch)
Lineage: Eukaryota; Metazoa; Chordata; Aves; Passeriformes; Estrildidae
Description: lncRNA (ENSTGUG00000018843.1)
Source: RNAcentral